This 261-nucleotide ribosomal RNA is filed under the name uncultured archaeon. RNAcentral describes it as "partial 16S ribosomal RNA". It matches the Rfam family "Archaeal small subunit ribosomal RNA", at positions 748 to 1009 of the family's 1478-position model. The record is from RNAcentral.
CAGCCGUAAACUAUGCGCGUUAGGUGUAUCGGUGACCACGAGUUACCGAGGUGCCGAAGGGAAACCGUGAAACGUGCCGCCUGGGAAGUACGGUCGCAAGGCUGAAACUUAAGGGAAUUGGCGGGGGAGCACCACAACAGGUGGAGCCUGCGGUUUAAUUGGACUCAACGCCGGGAAGCUCACCGGAUAGGACAGCAGAAUGAUUGCCGGGCUGAAGACCCUGCAUGACUAGCUGAGAGGAGGUGCAUGGCGUAGACGUCU